Musa acuminata AAA Group (dessert banana) is the source of this 3748-nucleotide long non-coding RNA. RefSeq lists it as uncharacterized. The record is from RefSeq and is a predicted model, not a curated record. The transcript has 2 exons. NCBI's taxonomy places the organism in Eukaryota, Viridiplantae, Streptophyta, Magnoliopsida, Zingiberales, Musaceae.
CACCGCUUCUCGUCGGCUAAGUCGGUUCUUAAAUCACGUCGUGGAGCAGAGUGCCUCCUUCCAUUAUUCCCACCGUCGUUACGACCCUAUAAUUCGGUUGCGAUCGUAAUGAUUGGUUGCCGUGCCCACGUUUGCCUUCGACUUGAUCGCGACCUACCUAUUGGUCGGGGUCGACGCCGACUCCGAUCUUUCCCUCCUCUUCUCCUCCCAUCGUCCUCCUCCUUCUCCCUCCUCUUCGCCCAGCGUGAUUGAUCUUCCUUCUUCCGGGCCUCCCGGUGGUGACCACCACCGGCCCCAUCAAGGCGCCUGCGAUCGCGUACAGAUCCAUGAUCCCCUUCGUCUCCGCCGCCCCGCCAAGUACGAGGACGUCCUCAAGGCCAAGGAUUCGACGCCCUGCUCGACAUCCAGACCCAUCCCGAUCUGCUUCCGCAGGCACUCCACCAUACCCUAACUUGUCUUCUUGAUUCUUGAUUCUUGAUUGUUCUGUUUCCGUCUGUUCCUAGGGACUGACGCGUCGAUGAGGGUGAGAAUGUGCCCAUGAGGGGCUCUUCUUGGUCCAAUCGAUGUGCCUAUUUGGGUGACGCACGGAUGCAGACCGUCGAGAUCUGCUUGUCAUCUUGAUUCGUUAUUAUUCUGUUGCCGUCUCAUGUUUCUUGUUUCUCAUCUUGAUUCGUUAUUAUUCUGUUGCACGGAUGGAGGAACGUGUCGAUGGGGGUGGCAAUGUGCCCCUGUGGACGGUGGCUGAAGCUCUCCCCAAGACUUCUUGGGUAAAAUCUUGUGGGUACUGAAUCUUGGACCCUUAGCUUGUAUUCUUGAUUCCUGAUUCUUUUGUCGCCGGUCCCUUCUUGUUUCUUGGGUGGAACGUGUCAAUUGGUGUGGGACUGUGCCUCUGCGACUCGUGGCAGAAGCCACCCGUGACUUCUUCGGUCGAUGUAUGGGAACUGGAUCUUGGACCCAUAGAUGCAUUCCACAUAGAUCUGCUUCCACACGUAUCGCAACAAGCCCUAGAUCUUGGACCUAUGGAUGUCGUUAAAGAUCGAUCGAGAUCUCAAUUGACGAAGGUGAUGUGCCGACUCUCUCUGUUCCUGAACUCCAUAUCUUGACUAUGGUGGUUGACGUGGUGUUUCUUGUCUCGAGGGUUAUCAUGAUGGCGACAGGGAGAAGCUUUCCUAUUAUGGCGGCAUGACGACCUUUGCCUCGUAUUGGUGAUGGUAAUCAUCCUUCUAUUGGUAUAUAAUCCUGCUAAAUUCUUGCUGAAAACUUUUGAGCUCAUAAAUUCUGAUGUGCUAGUCUGUAAUUUUUGCUGUAAUGUAUAUUAUAUUUCACUUUUUAUGAUCAUCUGUUUACUCUUCUCUUGUUUGAACCUAGUGAUGUUUGAUAUGCAUACCUGCUAAAAGUAAGUCUAGUCUGAGCAGAUAAGCUAGUAUAGAAGUAAGUUUAGGUUUGAAUGUGUAAGCUAUUACAGAAGAACACAGGUGUUCAUCAUUGGUUCAUAACAGUUCGUGAUCUUCUUGUGGAGUCACUAUUGGUCUUUGAGGAGCUAAACUGUUUAGAGGAUAUAAAUAAUUAACUUCAAAUUGUAAAAGGAGAAUGGUUUGAAGAUAUUUAAUUUUCAAUGUUUUUUAUCAAUGUUUUUUAUCAACCUUUUGUGCUAAUAAUUCUAUAUCAAUGUUUUUUUUAGCUAAGGAUAGCUUAUGUGUUAUUUUAAGCAUUUCCAAGCACUUCACCUAAUUAUUAUUUGGACUCUGAACCUCUUUUUCUGAAUCAUCAAUAUUUCAGUGUGUUUUUUUGUUAAUAUUGCUUGGAUAUUUGUUUGAUCUUUUAUUGUCUUUCCAUUAGUUUAUACUUAUUUUAAUGUUGGGUUAGUGGUGCUCACACUGUGUCAACUUGUAAUUCUAUACUUCUUUAUUUCUUUUCCUAGUUUCUCUUACAACAACAUUCUGUCCAACAGUUGAUAUAUAUGGCAGAACAACAGUACUUGCUCUGUUUCUGAACUUCAUAUAAGAUGUGUACCAUAAAUACUUUUCUUAUUGUUAUAUUGCUGAUCAUUGUUUGUCAGCAUACAUUUCACUAGAUUGCUAUAAAAUUCUUAAAACAACUUGAUAUCCUAAUUUUGCAAUCCAUUAGCCAUUAUUCUCUAUCCAUCUAACAACUUUAGUUAUUUACAUUUUUUGAUCUGGGUGAUUGUACACCCUAUGAACUUAUACGAUCAACUUUAGUCCUUUUCUUAGUGAAUUUAUUAUUAACCCAAAAAAGACUACUUGAUUAAAGUCUGUCUAUAUAUUCCUGAUGUCAUGAAACUAAUACCAUAGCGGACCCUUCAGAUAUCUAAUAGAAUACACGCAGGACACAACCUUUGAUUUUCCCUGCAUGCUUCGUAGCUUGUAUGUUUCAUUUAGUGUGUUUGCAAGUUGUUUUAGUAGGUUGAAUUUUUGUUUACAAAAUUUUGUACCUCUACAUGACUUUAGCUUAUAGAGUUUCCAAAAGAUCUUUGACAACUUUCUCGUAAUGAAUUUACCUGUAGAUGUCUCGUUCUUUGACCUCUAGGUUUCUCUAUGCUUCAUUGCUGUAUUCUAUUAUGACUUAAAUGACCAAUGCUGCUGCUUAUGACAUUUUUUUACAAGUAUUUUCUUAUAUUAUGCAGUUCAUUUUAGUAAGGAUAUUAUUGUUACACAUAUUGCUCUUGUACAUAGUGCGUAAUAAAUAUAGGGAAAUUGUGCUUCAGGUACUAACACCUAGAAGUAGAGCUGAUUAACGAGAAGGUAAAAGGUGCCAUCUAAGCUUAUCUGAAUAUAACAUGAGUUAGAAAAUGAUGACCAUAUUUUGACGAUAAAACAUUAAUGAAUUUACUAACUGAUUAUGAAGGCAUUUUUCAUCUUAGUUGCUACAAGGAUUGUAGAUAUGUUAUAUCACCUAGUCAUUUUCAUGUUAGAACUAGACAAAAGCAGAAUAUUCCUCUUGAAAUGAUCUUUAAUUUGGUGAAUCUUAUUGUCAAAACAAGUAAGUUUGUUCAGCAAUGGAACUCAAUACACGCACACACACAAAAAGGGAUUGGAAUGCCUGCCAAUGGAUGUAUGCAGUGCUAUUCUUUGGGUAUUUGUGCUUAUGCGAAGAGAAAACCAGUUGGUAAAUAGAAAAUGCGUUUACAAAUCUGCGUGCAUUUAGUUUGAAUUUACUCUACACCAAGGCAGACGUUCUUUUCUGGGACUUGGGUUUAGUCUUGAUUUAGUUGAACUUAAGGUUGAGGUUCUUUUCCCAGUUAAUUUGAAUUAAUUUGAGUGCUUCACAAUUUUUAUCCAGAAGAAAUAAGAGUUGAUUUGCGUUCCUUUUGAUAAAAUUUAAUAUAGAAUCAAAAAAUGUAAAAGAUAAAAUGUGCUAAAGAUGACAGAUAGGCUCGAAAUUUUAGCAUUUUUUUCUUUGAAGAAAGAAAUGAAAGGUCAAUUAAAAUUUUAUUUGAAGCGAGUGAACAGGUUACAGGUCUCUGUGGCAUAUCCUCUUGGAAGAAGACUUCGUCGCUGGUUUUUUAAUAUCAACUUGCCAUAUCACCGUGCUUUUUACUUGAUGAGGACGCAGACAGAAGAGACUGCUCGAUAUUUGUAACAGCGCGAUAAUUUCACCCGACCAUCGCGAGCUUUUGACACCCAAAGGAAUUAUGUGUUGUAGCAAAAGCUGUUUAGUUGUUUCUUUAUUUCCUUCCUGAACAUCAGAUUUAGGUGAAUUUUCGGAAAAAGCUUUUUUUUUUUGUUUU